RNAcentral lists this ribosomal RNA (252 nucleotides) under Klebsiella pneumoniae. RNAcentral describes it as "partial 23S ribosomal RNA". It matches the Rfam family "Bacterial large subunit ribosomal RNA", at positions 1 to 253 of the family's 2925-position model. Lineage: Bacteria; Pseudomonadati; Pseudomonadota; Gammaproteobacteria; Enterobacterales; Enterobacteriaceae. The record is from RNAcentral.
GGUUAAGCGACUAAGCGUACACGGUGGAUGCCCUGGCAGUCAGAGGCGAUGAAGGACGUGCUAAUCUGCGAAAAGCGUCGGUAAGGUGAUAUGAACCGUUAUAGCCGGCGAUGUCCGAAUGGGGAAACCCAGUGCAAUUCGUUGCACUAUCGUUAACUGAAUACAUAGGUUAACGAGGCGAACCGGGGGAACUGAAACAUCUAAGUACCCCGAGGAAAAGAAAUCAACCGAGAUUCCCCCAGUAGCGGCGAG